Molecule: ribosomal RNA, 465 nt
Filed under: uncultured bacterium
Lineage: Bacteria
Description: partial 16S ribosomal RNA
Rfam family: Bacterial small subunit ribosomal RNA
Source: RNAcentral
GACGAACGCUGGCGGCGUGCUUAACACAUGCAAGUCGAACGGAAAGGCCCCUUUGGGGGUACUCGAGUGGCGAACGGGUGAGUAACACGUGAGUAACCUGCCCUUGACUUCGGGAUAACUUCAGGAAACUGGGGCUAAUACCGGAUAGGAAUCCUUGCUGCAUGGUGGGGGUUGGAAAGCUUCGGCGGUUUUGGAUGGACUCGCGGCUUAUCAGCUUGUUGGUGGGGUAGUGGCUUACCAAGGCUUUGACGGGUAGCCGGCCUGGGAGGGCGACCGGCCACAUUCGGACUGGGAUACGGACCAGACUCCGACGGGAGGCAGCAGUGGGGAAUAUUGCACAAUGGGCGGAAGCCUGAUGCAGCAACGCCGCGGGCGGGAGGACGGCCUUCGGGUUGGAAACCGCUUUCAGCAGGGGCGAAGCUGGUGGUGACGGUACCUGCAGAAGAAGCACCGGCUAACUACGUG